UUUUUUUUGGUGGGCUUCUUUGGCCUCUUUUAUUUUCUCACAUGGGACAAUGCUCCAUUAAUGAUGAUCAUCACACUUUCAACUCAAAACUUAGAGCAACUAUGACUAUAUGGAAUGCCUUCGGUAGUGUACCGUGGCAAUGAUCUAGCAUGGCAUAGACAUCAAUGGAAACAUUAUGCUAGCUAUCUUACGAUCAUGCAAUGGCAAUGUAGACGUGGUGGCACAUGUCAUGGUGGUAGUUGCAUGGCAAUAUAUCUCGGAAUGACUUUGAAAAAGCCAUAGUAGGUAGGUAUGGUGGAUGUUUUGAGGGAGGCUAAUGGUGGGUUUUGUGCACCGGCGAAAGUUGCACGACACUAAGAAGAUAGUGAUGGUGGAGGUGAAAGUGCAUCUAAACCAUGGACUCAACAUUAGUCAUGAAGAACUCAUAUACUUGUUGCAAAAGUUUUAUUAGUAAUCGAAACAAAGCAUUCAACGCAUACUCCUAGGGGAAGGGUUGGUAGGUAUAAACCAUCGCACGAUCCCGACCGCCACGCAAAGGAUGACACUAAAUAUACUAAUCAUGCUCAGAUUUCAUCACAUAGCGGUUCACCAUACAUGCCUGCUAUGGGAAUCACUAACUUCAACACAAGUAUUUCUAGAUCCACAACACCUUACUAGCAUGACUUCAAAAUUACCAUAAGCACAACCCAAAACUAAUUGAGAUGAAUCAAACUUCUCUAACUAUUCAAUGCACAUGAAGGUGGAAGUUUUCGUAUCCCUUUGGAUAACUACCCUUUUUGAGACUACUUUCAAAGCAUAAAUCAACUACCAAUCCACGCACCACUGUGCUCUAAAAGAUAUAAGCAAAACACACAGAGUAAAAGUAUCUAGCUCAANNNNNNNNNNNNNNNNNNNNNNNNNNNNNNNNNNNNNNNNNNNNNNNNNNNNNNNNNNNNNNNNNNNNNNNNNNNNNNNNNNNNNNNNNNNNNNNNNNNNUACGAGCAAAACAAGAAAUGACUACAAUCUGCCAUAAACAGCCACAUAGCAUUUUCUACGCCACACAACUACGGCUACACAACUCCGAUAUGCUCAAGCAAGGCAUGGCACGGAAGAGGGCCAGAAGCACUACUACAAACAUCUAACAACAACUAGCAUGGCCUCACGUAUCACUAGGGAAAGAAGUCACAAAAUGGCAUCCCACACACUAUUUCAGACUAAGUGAAAAUUGCACCUCAUGAAAGUGCAGUUUUCGAUCUGAAGCCAUAUUGACAGCAGCAAAACCUAUAGCUACAGGGCUCCAAAUGGCAUGAAAAUUGUCAGCAUGCUAGAGAAACAUAAGGGUUACAACUAACUCCAUUGGACCAACCUCAAAAGAGUUACAGCUCACAAGAUAGAAGCAAGACAAGGCAGCAACAAAAUAUAACAGAUUCCAGACUUAGAAAUAUUUCAGCACGUCCAAAACAGCACUAUUUCUGGCAAUUUGAGGGCAAUCAAACCACACCUAAACAUGCAUUUCUAUUGCAACCAAAAAUACCAGGGGCUAGUGUAAACACCCAAGAACAACUCUCUAGUUGACAACUCCGACAAACGAGGCACGGAAUAAACCCUACGAAGUAAACAAAAGGGCAACAUAGCAAAAUAUCGCGCGAAAUANNNNNNNNNNNNNNNNNNNNNNNNNNNNNNNNNNNNNNNNNNNNNNNNNNNNNNNNNNNNNNNNNNNNNNNNNNNNNNNNNNNNNNNNNNNNNNNNNNNNCGCGCCCGCGGCAUCGUCAAAACCCUGUUUUAAAAAUGUGCGUAAACCUNNNNNNNNNNAUGCAUUGCAUCGGCAUCUCCGUUGCCGCCAGUUUUCAAAACUUGUAUCCGUUGUUAGUUGCCGAUUCACGUCGUUGUCCGUUCUGAGCCCGACCGCACUCGCAGCGCCCGCGGCAUCGUCAAAACCCUGUUUUAAAAAUGUGCGUAAACCUUUCUCUGAUCGGGGUGAGAUUUGACGUGCGGUGGUAUUUUUAUAUAGGUAGGCCGCCUGUCAAGUUUCGUCGCAAUCGGAGUCCGUCUGGUACCCGAACGGUCGACCGUAGCGGCACCGUAUCCGGUCUAUCGUCGGACGUUUUUCGGUAUUGUAAAUCGCGUUGCCGCGCCGCACCGUUUCCCUCUCACCUCCGCCUAGCCACUCUGCACAGCCACCUUGACCCUCCCGCGUCCGUGACCAUUCGAUUGUGAUCGUGUGGUCGAAAUCGGGGCGGAAAACCCAAACCCUAGCUAGCCCGGCUAUAAAAGGAAGGUAGCCCUUACUAAUUAGACAGCAAUCCCCUCUCUCCCUCGUUUUUCGUGCCUCCCCAACCCUAGCCGACAUGCGCAGCCACCCCAGCCGUUGCGGCCCGCCCAGGCCCGCGCGAGGCCCGCGAAGCCCGGAUCCCCGCCGCCGUGAGCCGCAUGCGCGCGGCUCCCCAGCGCCUNNNNNNNNNNNNNNNNNNNNNNNNNNNNNNNNNNNNNNNNNNNNNNNNNNNNNNNNNNNNNNNNNNNNNNNNNNNNNNNNNNNNNNNNNNNNNNNNNNNNAAUAACCGAAACUCCAAGAGAGACAAGGAUGUAUCCCGAUGUUCACUUCCUUGGAGGGAAGCUACGUCACCGUUAGAGGGGCGGAUGUUACCACGAAGGCACACCAACGCCACAAAGGCUCACCCUAUUCUCCCUUUGAGAUAACUCCACGAAGGCGUUUCUCAACCACUAGUGGUAAGCCUUGAGGUGGCUUCCAAACCUUCACAAACUUUUUGGGGGAAAUCACAAUGGUUUGAUUCCUCUCCGAAGACUCCUACCGCCUAGGAGUCUCCAACCUCCAAGAGUAACAAGAUCACGGGGAUUGCUCAAAACUUGCUCAAAUCACAAAUCACUUUGGUGGGAAGGAAGAGAGGGAGACGAUCUAUCUUUUGAUUGGAACAACACUCAAAGGGACUCACAAAUGCUCUUGGGAUCUAGGAUUUGGUGUAGACAAGAGUGAGUGAGAAGAAAGGUGUUCUUGGAUUUAUUCUAGCUGUGUUGAACACCCUUUCACGAGGUGGGAGAAGAGUAUAUAUAGUGGGGAGUGAAAACCAGCCGUUGGGGACACUUUAAGUCACACAGGGUCCGGACGUCCAACAGUUGCCGGAAGUCCGGGCGUCCACGAGGGGUCGGACGUCCGACAGUUGCCGGAAGUCCGGGCGUCCGCGAGGGGUCGGANNNNNNNNNNNNNNNNNNNNNNNNNNNNGUUGCCGAAAGUCCGGGCGUCCACGAGGGGUCGGACGUCCGACAGGGGUCGGUCGUCCGAGGCCUGUAGAUAUGACUGAUGACUGAAAAUACUGUGAAUUGAACAACAACCGAACGUCCGGAGAGGACCGGAAAUGCGAGUUAUUCGACUCAACUUCUUCUGAUGGGAGGUUCCGGAUUUCCGAAGGGGAACGGACGUCCGGCCCUCGGACGUCCGUCCCUCGGACGUCCGGAGAGAGCCAGAAAUCCGAGUUAUAGAGCUCAUGUUCUUCUGGUGCAGGGCUCCGGAUUUCCGGGGCUGGUCGGACGUCCGGCCCUCGGAUGUCCGGAGGGAGCCGGAAAUCCGAGUUAUAUGACUCACAAACUUCUGGUGGAGGGCUCCAGAUUUCUGAAGCCUGCCGGUCGUCCGGCCCUCGGACGUCCGGAGGUAGCCGGACGUCCGAGGCAAUAGACCUGUUUUGAGAUAAGAACAGAGNNNNNNNNNNNNNNNNNNNNNNNNNNNNNNNNNNNNNNNNNNNNNNNNNNNNNNNNNNNNNNNNNNNNNNNNNNNNNNNNNNNNNNNNNNNNNNNNNNNNCAUGCGCGCGGCUCCCCAGCGCCUCCGUCUGCCCCCGUCGCCCCGCCGCCGCGGCUCCCGAGGCUGCCCUACGCCGCCUCCCGUCGCGUGUGCAGGUGCCGGCCAGCUGCACCCCUCGCCUUGCCUCGCGCCAGCAGCUCCCCUCGUCGGAGUGCAGUCUCCGUCGCCCCCAGUCCGCCUCCCGUGUCCGACUCGUCGCCGGCCUUAGAGCCCCGCCUCCGCGUCGCCUUCUGCCGGAUAUGCGUCCCUGCCGCCGGAUCCUGCUGCGACGUCCAGCCUGGGCCUCAAUCCGGUCGGGGCCGAGCUCCCCCUGCCGCCGGAGACCGCCCUGUCGAGGCUUCGCCCCAUCGCCGCCAUAGGCUCCCGAUCCAGGCGUGGUCGUGGGAGUUCGCCGCCUCCCGUGGGUUGGCCAGCGCCAGGCCGGGCUGCCACCCCGUGGGUCGCACCAGGCUGCCUCGGCCCGCUCCCGUGGCCACUUCUUCGGCCAGGUCCAGGCCAAGUGCUCCAGCCUCCCAGUGCCCCAACCUGCCUCUUCCUCCCCAGCAACAUGGGCCAGGCCCACCAAGGUGAGCAGCCCCCGCUCCGAUAAUCCCCGCCCGUGGCGAUUUAAUCUAUGCUGCGCCAUGCCCCUGUGUAGCCCAUUAGGAUUAGAUUCGGCCCAGUAGUUAUUUUAGGAUUAAUUUCGGAAUUAUUUAAAUUCCAAAAAAUAUAUAGUUGUUAAUACGUCCGUAACUUUUUACCCGUGUGUCGGAUCGGAGCGUGAAGUAUAUGUUUUUCUUGUAGUUUUUUCGCGUAGUAUCCGUUUUUGCAACUUGCAUAAAUGUUUGAUGUGGUUUGACCCAUUGUUUGCCUAGAAAUGCGUGUUGUCCUAAUAGGUUUUGUCCCGUAUUUAAUUUUCAAUCAUGCCUGGAUUGCUCGUAUGCCUUAGAUAAAAUGCCCAUGUUUUAGGAACCUAUUUUCCAUGUAUUUUAGAGUAGCCGUUGGUAUUUUUGCAUGUAGGUACUUGCCACUAGAUUAUUUUCCGUGUCUAGGCCAUUAUCUCGCAUUGUCGUGUGGUAAUAUUUUUGAGUUGCAACCCCACAUAUUUUAUAUGUUUUCGGGGUAGAAAAAUCCAUGGGAUUUUCCUGUGCAAUUAGUUUUAACAUUAGAGCAAGUUAUUUCGCGCGAUAUUUUGCUAUGUUGCCCUUUUGUUUACUUCGUAGGAUUUAUUCCGUGACUCGUUUGUCGGAGUUGUCAACUAGAGAGUUGUUCUUGGGUGUUUAGACUAGUACUUGGUAUUUUUGGUUGCAAUAGAAAUGCAUGUUUAGGUGUGGUUUUAUUGCCCUCAAGUUGCUAGAAAUAGUGCUGUUGGACGUGCUGAAAUAUUUCUAAGUCUGGAAUAUGUUAUAUUUUGUUGCUGCCUUGUCUUGCUUCUAUCUUGUGAUCUGUAACUCUUUUGAGGUUGGUCCAAUGGAGUUAGUUGUAACCCUUAUGUUUCUCUAGCAUGCUGACAAUUUUCAUGCCAUUUGGAGCCCUGUAGCUAUAGGUUUUGCUGCUGUCAAUAUGGCUUCAGAUCGAAAACUGCACUUUCAUGAGGUGCAAUUUUCACUUAGUCUGAAAUAGUGUGUGGGAUGCCAUUUUGUGACUUCUUUCCCUAGUGAUCCGUGAGGCCAUGCUAGUUGUUGUUAGUUGUUUGUAGUAGUGCUUCUUGCCCUCUUCCAUGCCAUGCCUUGCUUGAGCAUAUCGGAGUUGUGUAGCCGUUGUUGUGGGGCGUAGAAAAUGUUAUGUGGCUGUUUAUGGCAGAUUGUAGUCAUUUCUUGUUUUGCUCGUAGUUGUUGAACCGUAGCUCCGAUUUGAUCGUGUCCGAUAUGAAACUUGCUUAUAAUCUUGUGUAGUUUCAUUUUCUCUUGCUGGUUGUAUGUUUUGAGGUGCUCGUGACCGCCGUUGCACACAUACUGCAUUCAUGCCAUCAUAUCUUGCGGUGCUUGUAACUUUUGAUCCGUAGCUCCGUUGGAGAUGUUCUUUAUGUGUAGAUUGCUUGGAAUGACGCGUAGAAUCACGUGAACCUAUUUAUUUUGCUGUUUAAAACUAAUUAAAUGUGUUAGUUCAGAUCUGGACAGAAUUGCAAAUUAACAUGUGAGGUCGUCUCGGAGAUGCUAUAUGUCAUUUCUGACCUCAUUUAAAAUGUCUAGAUAGGUAGUUUAAUUUCCGCUUCACCUCUUGCAUGUUUGAAAACAUUAAUAUUGCCGUGUAAAUAACCGAGAGUGAACUAAAUAAUUCAUACGUGGAGUUUUGUCAAUAUGCAACUCGUUGCAUAUUGAACUUCACUUAAUGUGUAGUGUUUGUUUGUGUGAUUUGCCANNNNNNNNNNAAUAACCGGAGUGAACUAAAUAAUUAAUAUGUGGAGUUUCGUCAAUAUGCAACUCGUUUCAUAUUGAACUUCACUUAAUGUGUAGUGUUUGUUUGUGUGAUUUGCCAUGCCGUGACUUGCAUGUAUUCAGGUGCUCAUGCAUCAUUUGUGUUGUUGCAUCGUGUAGUGAAUUUCGUGUGUUGAUUUGUGUUUCCGGUUUGCUUCGUCUCGAUAGAGUUCCGCAGCGUGCCGGAUUGUGAGGACCCGUUCGACUACGUCGGUUCGUCUGCUUCACGGAGGCAUUCUUCUUCCAAGCGGGAUCUCAGGCAAGAUGACCAUUUCCCCAGAUACCAUUACUAUCAUUGCCAUGCUAGUUUUAUUGCUUCUAUCGAUUAUGUCUCAUUGCCUACCACCUGUUAAAUAUCAGCUUCUCAACAAUGCCAUGUUAACCUCCAACCUGUUCGACCUAGCAAACCACUGAUUGGCUAUGUUACCGCUUGCUUAACCCUGUGUUAGCGUUGCUAGUUGUAGGUGCAUUGCUUCCAUGUGGAAGCAUGGGUUCCUUGUUAUAUCACCAUAUUAAAUGCUAUUUAAUUUAAUGCACCUAUAUACUUGGUAAAAGGUGGAAGGCUCGGCCUUUUCUAGCCUGGUGUUUUGUUCCACCUUUGCCCCCUUAUUUUCCGACUACCGGUGUUAUGUUCCAUAAAUGAGCGCUCCUAACACGAUCGGGGUUGUUAUGGGGACCCCCUUGAUAAUUCAUUUUAGAUUAAGACUAGUCUGGCAAGGCCCAACUUUGGUACUUCAUUUGCCUAAUAACCUAAUAAUAAUGCAUAGGGACCCGCCGGCACCCGCGGACUAUUUUAAUCAACCCCCGGGCCAGUGCUCCUCAUGAGUGUUGGUCCCACACGAGCGAUGUCCGGCGCCCCUCUGGUCACCCGGAGGUUUAGCGAUCCCGACGUCUAGCUCAUCCAUCUUGUCCUGAGAACGAGGUACGCGACUCCUAUCGGGAUCGUCGACACGUCGGGCGGCCUUGCUGGAAUAGUUUUACCUUUGACGAAAUAUCUUGUGCAUCGGGAUUCCGCUGAUGCUUUGGGUAAUCUCAGAGUUGAGGUUUUCCACUAGGGAAUCCGACGAGAUUGCGACCUUCGUGAUUGAGGAUUUCUAUGCGGCUUGUGGUAAUUUGUGAUGGACUAGUUGUAGCACCCCUGCAGGGUUAAAUCUUUUCGGAAAGCCGUGCCCGCAGUUAUGUGGCAACGUGGAAACUUUGUUUAACACUAGUUCUAAAUAACUUGAAGUUAACUUGAUUAAAAUAUGCCAACUGUGUGCGUAACCNNNNNNNNNNCGCGAGCUUCGUGAUUGAGGAUUUCUAUGCGGCUUGUCGUAAUUUGUGAUGGACUAGUUGGAGCACCCCUGCAGGGUUAAAUCUUUUCGGAAAGCCGUGCCCACGGUUAUGUGGCAACGUGGAAACUUUGUUUAACACUGGUUCGAGAUAACUUGAAGUUAACUUGAUUAAAAUAUGCCAACUGUGUGCGUAACCGUGACUGUCUCUUUCGUGAGUUCCUUCUCCGUUCGAGGACACAGUGGGGUUAUGUCUGACGUAGGUAGGUGUUCAGGAUCAUUCAUUUGAUCAUCUGUGGUAACGUCCGUUAUGCGUAUAUCUUCCCCCUCUUAUUUCUUGUACUCGUAAGUUUAGCUACCAAACACAUGCUUAGUUGUUGCUGCAACCUCACCACUUAACCUUACCUCACCCAUUAAGCUUUGCUAGUCUUGAUACNNNNNNNNNNNNNNNNNNNNNNNNNNNNNNNNNNNNNNNNNNNNNNNNNNNNNNNNNNNNNNNNNNNNNNNNNNNNNNNNNNNNNNNNNNNNNNNNNNNNUCCCACACACUAUUUCAGACUAAGUGAAAAUUGCACCUCAUGAAAGUGCAGUUUUCGAUCUGAAGCCAUAUUGACAGCAGCAAAACCUAUUGCUACAGGGCUCCAAAUGGCAUGAAAAUUCACAGCAUGCUAGAGAAACAUAAGGGUUACAACUAACUCCAUUGGACCAACCUCAAAAGAGUUACAGCUCACAAGAUAGAAGCAAGACAAGGCAGCAACAAAAUAUAACAGAUUCCAGACUUAGAAAUAUUUCAGCACGUCCAAAACAGCACUAUUUCUGGCAAUUUGAGGGCAAUCAAACCACACCUAAACAUGCAUUUCUAUUGCAACCAAAAAUACCAGGGGCUAGUGUAAACACCCAAGAACAACUCUCUAGUUGACAACUCCGACAAACGAGGCACGGAAUAAACCCUACGAAGUAAACAAAAGGGCAACAUAGCAAAAUAUCGCGCGAAAUAACUUGCUCUAAUGUUAAAACUAAUUGCACAGGAAAAUACCAUGGAUUUUUCUACCCCGAAAACAUAUAAAAUAUGUGGGGUUGCAACUCAAAAAUAUUACCACACGACAAUGCGAGAUAAUGGCCUAGACACGGAAAAUAAUCUAGUGGCAAGUACCUACAUGCAAAAAUACCAACGGCUACUCUAAAAUACAUGGAAAAUAGGUUCCUAAAACAUGGGCAUUUUAUCUAAGGCAUACGAGCAAUCCAGGCAUGAUUGAAAAUUAAAUACGGGACAAAACCUAUUAGGACAACACGCAUUUCUAGGCAAACAAUGGGUCAAACCACAUCAAACAUUUAUGCAAGUUGCAAAAACGGAUACUACGCGAAAAAACUACAAGAAAAACAUAUACUUCACGCUCCGAUCCGACACACGGGUAAAAAGUUACGGACGUAUUAACAACUAUAUAUUUUUUGGAAUUUAAAUAAUUCCGAAAUUAAUCCUAAAAUAACUACUGGGCCGAAUCUAAUCCUAAUGGGCUACACAGGGGCAUGGCGCAGCAUAGAUUAAAUCGCCACGGGCGGGGAUUAUCGGAGCGGGGGCUGCUCACCUUGGUGGGCCUGGCCCAUGUUGCUGGGGAGGAAGAGGCAGGUUGGGGCACUGGGAGGCUGGAGCACUUGGCCUGGACCUGGCCGAAGAAGUGGCCACGGGAGCGGGCCGAGGCAGCCUGGUGCGACCCACGGGGUGGCAGCCCGGCCUGGCGCUGGCCAACCCACGGGAGGCGGCGAACUCCCACGACCACGCCUGGAUCGGGAGCCUAUGGCGGCGAUGGGGCGAAGCCUCGACAGGGCGGUCUCCGGCGGCAGGGGGAGCUCGGCCCCGACCGGAUUGAGGCCCAGGCUGGACGUCGCAGCAGGAUCCGGCGGCAGGGACGCAUAUCCGGCAGAAGGCGACGCGGAGGCGGGGCUCUAAGGCCGGCGACGAGUCGGACACGGGAGGCGGACUGGGGGCGACGGAGACUGCACUCCGACGAGGGGAGCUGCUGGCGCGAGGCAAGGCGAGGGGUGCAGCUGGCCGGCACCUGCACACGCGACGGGAGGCGGCGUAGGGCAGCCUCGGGAGCCGCGGCGGCGGGGCGACGGGGGCAGACGGAGGCGCUGGGGAGCCGCGCGCAUGCGGCUCACGGCGGCGGGGAUCCGGGCUUCGCGGGCCUCGCGCGGGCCUGGGCGGGCCGCAACGGCUGGGGUGGCUGCGCAUGUCGGCUAGGGUUGGGGAGGCACGAAAAACGAGGGAGAGAGGGGAUUGCUGUCUAAUUAGUAAGGGCUACCUUCCUUUUAUAGCCGGGCUAGCUAGGGUUUGGGUUUUNNNNNNNNNNNNNNNNNNNNNNNNNNNNNNNNNNNNNNNNNNNNNNNNNNNNNNNNNNNNNNNNNNNNNNNNNNNNNNNNNNNNNNNNNNNNNNNNNNNNNNNNNNNNNNNNNNNNNNNNNNNNNNNNNNNNNNNNNNNNNNNNNNNNNNNNNNNNNNNNNNNNNNNNNNNNNNNNNNNNNNNNNNNNNNNNNNNNNNNNNNNNNNNNNNNNNNNNNNNNNNNNNNNNNNNNNNNNNNNNNNNNNNNNNNNNNNNNNNNNNNNNNNNNNNNNNNNNNNNNNNNNNNNNNNNNNNNNNNNNNNNNNNNNNNNNNNNNNNNNNNNNNNNNNNNNNNNNNNNNNNNNNNNNNNNNNNNNNNNNNNNNNNNNNNNNNNNNNNNNNNNNNNNNNNNNNNNNNNNNNNNNNNNNNNNNNNNNNNNNNNNNNNNNNNNNNNNNNNNNNNNNNNNNNNNNNNNNNNNNNNNNNNNNNNNNNNNNNNNNGACGAUGCCGCGGGCGCGUGCGAGUGCGGUCGGGCUCAGAACGGACAACGACGUGAACCGGCAACUAACAACGGAUACAAGUUUUGAAAACUGGCGGCAACGAAGAUGCCGAUGCAAUGCAGAUGAUGCGAAUGAUGCGAUGAUGAUGCGACAAAAUAAAACAGACACACGACGAAAACGGAAAGGAAAGGGAAUCUUCUGGAACAUCGGCAACGGGCUGUCACGAAAAGUAACUACUGACAAAGCAUAAUCAUAUUCAUGACCAGAGAGGUAAUGAAUAGCAUCAAGGAUCUGAACAUAUAAUCUUCCACCAAGUAAUCCAACUAGCAUCAACUACGAAGAGUAAUUAACACUACUAGCAACCUUACAAGUGCCAAUCGGAGUCGCGAGAUGGAGAUUGGUUACAAGAGAUGAACUAGGGUUUGGAGAUGAGAUGGUGCUGAUGAAGAUGUUGAUGGUGAUGAGUCCCCUUCGAUGAGAGGAGUGUUGGUGAUGACGAUAGCGACGAUUUCCCCCUCCGGGAUCGUCCUGCCGGAGCUCUAGAUUGGUUCUGCUCAAGUUCCGCCUCGUGGCGGCGGCCAAUCCUCCGAAAAGCCUCCUCCUGAUUUUUCUGGAACGAAACCCUUCUUGUAGAAAAAGGGGGGAGCUAGAGGGCCAAGUGGGAGCCCACAAGCCCCCUAGGCACGGCCAGGGGGAGGCCGCGCCUAGCAGGCUUGUGGCCUCCUGCUGGCGCCCGUGUGAUACUUCUUCGGCCCAGUAUUUUUUAUAAAUCCCAAAAAACUCCUCGUUGAUUUUCACGGAUUUUGGAGUUGCUCAGAAUAGGUAUCUCAAACUUGCUCCUUUUUCAGGCCAGAAUUCCAGCUCCCGGCAUUCUCCCUCUUCUUGUAAACCUUGCAAAAUAAGAGAGAAAAGGCAUAAGUAUUGUAACGUGAAGUGUAAUAACAGCCCAUAAAGCGAUAAAUAUCAACAUCAAAGCAUGAUGCAAAAUGGACGUAUCACCCACCGUAUUGUUUUCCUUUAUGAGAUAAGCCUCUAGUGAAACCUAUGGCUCCCGGGUCUAUUUUCGCUAUUAUACUUUGAGAUCUAUAAACCAAAAAUACCCAAAAUAUAUUGCUGCUAUUUAUUUAUGUUUGUUUUACUGUUAGUUCUAGCAAUCUUUUAUAUCUAUCUCUAUCAUAUCUCAUCCUUGCAAAUAACUUUGAAGGAAUUGACAACCCCUUUUUAGCGUUGGGUGCAAGCGUUUGAUUGUUUGUGUAGGUACUAAGAUUGGGGCCUUGCUUGUUCCUCCUACUAGAUUUAUACAUUGGUUCUCAACACACUAAGGGAAAUACUUAUCUACUUUGCUGCAUCACCCUUUCCUCUUCAAGGGAAAACCAGCGCAAGCUCAAGAGGUAGCAUUGCAGUAUAGUAGAGAUAUAUAUUUCCCUCAGUGAGAACCAAGGUUAUAGAACCAAUAGGAGAAACAAUCAAACUCUCAUCGUAAGCACCUACACACAGAAAACCAAACACUUGCACCCAACGCAGGGAAGAGGGUUGUCAAGCCCCUUGAACUCAUUAUUUGCAAGGAUUAGUUUUGAUAGAUAGAUGAUAUAAAAAGUAAAAGUAAAUAAAAGUUUAACAAAUUGCAGCAAGGUAAAUAGGUUUUAACAAUAGGAUUGAGUAGACCCGAAGGGCGUAGUUUUCGCUAGAGACUUCUCUAUCGAACAUAACACGCGGUAGGUAAACAAAUUAAUGUUCAGUAAUUGACAAAAUAGCGCAUAGUUAUGACAUGUUAUUCACGACAAUGAUUAUGUGUGUGUAGGCAUCACGUACAUAAACAAGUAGACCAAAAUGAUCAUGCAUCUACUACUAUUACUCCACUUCGAGAGCGCUUCUAUGCUUGCCUCCCUAGGUAUUAAGUUCAUGACAAACAGAGUAAUGCUUGGAGCAAGAUGACAUGGUGUAGACAAAGUAAGACAAGCAAUAUGUUCAAACCCCGUUGUUUUAUUUUUAGUGGAAAUCAUAAAAAUAUGUUUCUUGUCUCCUUCUGUCACUAGAAUAUAGAGCACCACAAGAUUGAACCCACUACAAUGCAACACUCCCACUGAAGACAAAUCAAUAGUUGGCCAAACCAAACGGAUAGAUCGAAGAGAAAUACGAAGCUAUAACAAUCAUGCAUAAUAGAAUUCUGAGGAGACUCGGUUACUUUCAAUGAAUAAUCUCAUCAUAAAUCAACAACUCAUUGGAUCCCAAAACACACACCGCGGAAGAGAAUUACAUCGAAUAGAUCACCGCGGGAAUCGCAUCAAACAUUGUAUUGAAGAUCAUAGAGAGAGAGAGAAGAAGCUAUCUAGGUACUACAUAUGGACCCGUAGGUUUGCGGUGGACUACUCAUACAUCAUCAUGGAGGUGGCUAGGUUGAUGUAGACGACCUCUAUGAUCGAUUCCCCCUCGUAUGGGGCAUCGAAAAAGAUCUCCAGAUGGGAUCAUGGCGGAACAAAGACUUGCGGCGGCGGAAAAAGUAUUUCUUCUUCGUCUUUAGGGUUUUCAGAAUAUUUUAGGAUUUAUAGAAGUGGAAUUAGGUCAGGAGGACCAACGAGGGGCCCACAAUAUCAUAGGGUGCACCCUACCCUCGAGGGCGCGUCAUGUGAGCUUGUCGCUCCCUCGUGCGACGUCUUCCUGUAUGGCCUCCUCCCGAAGCUUCGUGGGCCCAAUAUCUUCCAGGAAAAAUCACCAAAAUGUUUCAUCAUGUUUGGACAUCGUUUGCUAUUGAUUUUCUGCAGAAGUCAAAAACACGCAAAAGCGAGGAACUCGCACUGCGCACUAGGUUAAUAGGUUAGCUCCAAAAAAUUAUAUAAAAUAGGAUAUUAUUGCAUAUAAACUAUCCAAGAUUGAUAACAUAAUAGCAUGGAACAAUUAAAAAUUAUCGAUACGUUAGAGACGUAUGAGUGGGACAAAAAUCCUAAGAGGAUCUCUCCCACAUAACUAUGCUUUAAUCUUGGUCUAAUUGGUCUAACGGUUUAGACUCCUAAGAGAGGCUAUAUUUCGAGUCUAAUAACAUUAGACUCCUAAUUACACAGGAACACUCAUAUGCUUUCUCUCUUUAGUUUUCUCUAAGUUAUUCUUUCUAGAUGUUGGAGUGUUGUCAGAUUACUACUUUGGAAUGCCUUUACCUUGGAGGGGUGUCUACUUAGACUCUUAAUCAACAGAUUAUGUCAAAGAAACUGAAGUGGCUGAGAGGUAUAACCUAGCUACAGGAAUCGUCAUGCUCCGUCGACAAACUACACUACUUCCGUUAGUUUGCUCGUUGGUGAGAUCAUUGUUACCGUAUAUCUUCAUAAUAUUCCUGGGUUUGAUAGUGUAGGAUAAAACAAUUGUUACAUAACAUACUCCCUUACAGUGGCAUCGAGCAUAUUUAUGAGUAGAUGCAAGUACAGUUAGAGCAUAUGGUGAUAUGCGGCAUUGCAAUUUUGGGCAUAGUGAUUAGGGAGUUCUAGUUAUUGGAUAUUGAUGAUGUAACCCUUCUAAUGUGGAUUUUUGAUUUCAAUGGUAUUUAGGAACUUUGUUACAAAGGUUUGGCUUCCUUAUGUAAUUUUGUUUUGCUCCUCGGUAUAUUGAUUGUUGACCAAAGUUAUGUUUUAGAUUCUUUGGAUUCAACCAUAGUUAAGAAAGACAAAAAUUGCGAUGAAGAGGACUUGUAGAUUUUGAUCUAUACGGGGGUCACGCCUAAUGACAAAGUUUAGUACGGGCCUCUACAUUUUUAAUUAAGUCUCUUAGAAGGAACCAAGGAAAAUGGAGAAGGAAGCAAGGAAAAUGCAGAAGGAAUAAGGAAAUUGGAGGCACGACCACCUAUCAGAGCCCGACAUGGUGUCCAGUACGAGUGCACGCAUUUGUACCAAUGCUCAUACCAAGUGUUGGAAGCUCCAUGAGGUCCAACCCUCCAAUGAUUAUUAUAAAGGGGGCAUCACUAGAAUAUCAACAAGAGAGCGUCAAGAACACCAUUCGUGAAACAAAAGUCGUCUUCCAACCCUAGUCGUCGCCAUUUCCCAUCUCAUUGCCAUAGUCGCCUCCAUCACCAUCACCGCAACAUCUCCCCUCCAAGUUAGCCAUACUUGUAAUCGGGUAUGUCUCCUCUGAUGACUUCCUCUCGUGGACCGAUCAUCAUGUGUGAGUAAUUCGGUAAAGCAAUGAGUUAAGGCAUAGCCUUGCAACCCUAUGUAUUUGAAUGGGGUCAAUGGAAGGACUGUGAAUAAUUAACAUUAUGUAUGUGUCUGGUUGCUACAGAGUUGUCUCUUAUCUCUUUCUCGUUCUACGAUCCUGAAGCUACACGUACCCAGGAUCUUGGAGUUUGGUCAAUGAGGAUAAAAGGGGCGAUGAGGAUGCGGAAUGCUAUUCUAGGACCAAUGACGGAAAGUUUAUGUACGGUGGCAAAAAAUGUGUCCUUGGGGAUUCAUGAGGUGUAGUCAUUAAACACCCAAUGCUUUUUCUGAAAUUUAUUCUUAAGAAUCGAGCUAACCUCACGAUACGGUAAGGGUCUGCAGUUGAACGGAUGUCUCUUGAUGCAAGUCGCGCACCGGUCAAGACGUAAUUUAGACACAUUCCCUGCUUCAUUGUAGUGUAAGCACAUAUUAAUGGGUGUCUUCAAGAGGAUAAAUUGAUAUCAUGAUGAAACCGAGCACAAAUAUAUGGCUGUAAGAAUCACGACCUCAUACGCAUGCAUGUUUUAAUUCUAUUUUUUACACACCUGAGGUUGUUAAGGUCCGGUUACAUAAAUGGAAUUUAAUUCUUUUACAAGGACUUGUUAGAUCCUCUAUCGUAGUGCACAUCCUCUUGUGGGUUUGACAAAUCAGGGUCACUCCUUGGGGAAAAGGCAGGGAAACCUUCGCUAUCCGAACCGCAUCUCGAAGGGCGUCAAGCUCCUGUGAGGAGCAAGAGACGGAGGAUUGCAAAAUACUUUGGUAAUUUUGUUGUACUCCUUGUGGACUAUAUUACCAAGUUUAUUGUACAGGCAUAUGCAUAUCUAGAUCUAGACGAUUGCAAACAAGUUAUCCAUAAGGAGAUGGAGUCAAUUCCUUCUAACGGGGCCUAGGAACUAACUGAACGACCAUAUGGUUGUAAACUUGUGGCAUGUAAGUGGGUGUUUGAAAACAAGCUAUGGUUUGAUGAUAUUGUUUGAUAAGUGAAAGGUGUGCCUUGUGUCUAAGGGUUGCACUUAUAAAGAAGGCAAAGAUUACUUUGACACUUAUUCACUUGUCACUAGAGUGACACCAUUUGAUUUCAACUUUCCCUGGUGGCCUCUUAUUGUAUUAUCAUCCAUCAAAUGGGUGUAAAGAUAGCUUUCCUAAAUUGAGAGUUGGAAGAGGAAAUAUAUGUGGAUCAUCCUAAUGGGCUUGUCGUAAAGGGUGAAGAGAGAAAGGUGUGCAAGGUGUUAAAAUAUUUGUAUGGAUUGAAACAAACACCUAAGCAAUGGCAUGAGAAGUUUGACAGAACUUUAACUUCUCCAAGAUCUUUCAUUAAUGAGGCGGAUAGUGUGUUUGCUAUUGCCAUGGCGGGGACGAAAAUGUCAUAUUAUGUUUAUAUGUGGAUGUCAUUCUGAUCUUUAGUGCAAACAUUGAUGUGAUCAUUGAGAUCAACUAUUUUUAAUCAAAAAUAUUUGAUAUGCAAGAUAUGGGAGAAGGUGGUGUGAUUCUAAACAUUAAACUAAUUAAUGAUGAGAGUGGGAUUAUUUUAAUGUGAUAUAUCUAUGUUGAGAAGGUCUUGAGUUGGUUUGGAUUUAUAGAUAUCAAUGUUUAUCCAACACCUUAUGAUCGAGUGUUACACUUCGAAAGAACAUGAAAGAAAUGACAAACCAAUUGAGAUACUCUCAAAUUAUCGGUUCACGCAUGUACUUAGCUAGUGCAAUAAAGCAAGAUAUGUAUUUUGUUGGAAAUAUGCCCUAGAGGCAAUAAUAAAUUAGUUAUUAUUAUAUUUCUUUGUUCAUGAUAAUCGUUUAUUAUCCAUGCUAUAAUUUUAUUGAUUGGAAACACAAUACUUGUGUGGAUACAUAGACAAAACAUUGUCCCUAGUAAGCCUCUAGUUGACUAGCUCGUUGAUCAAAGAUGGCCAAGGUUUCCUGGCCAUAGGCAAGUGUUGUUACUUGAUAACGGGAUCACAUCAUUAGGAGAAUGAUGUGAUGGACUAGACCAAAACUAAUAGACGUAGCAUGUUGAUCGUGUCAUUUUGUUGCUACUGUUUUCUGCGUGUCAAGUAUUUGUUCCUAUGACCAUGAGAUCAUAUAACUCACUAACACCGGAGGAAUGCUUUGUGUGUAUCAAACGUUGCAACGUAACUGGGUGACUAUAAAGAUGCACUGCAGGUAUCUCCCAAGGUGUUCGUUGAGUUAGUAUGGAUCGAGACUGGGAUUUGUCACUCCGUGUGACGGAGAGGUAUCUCGGGGCCCACUCGGUAAUACAACAUCACACACAAGCCUUGCAAGCAAUGUGACUUAGUGUAAGUUGCGGGAUCUUGUAUUACGGAACGAGUAAAGAGACUUGCCGGUAAACGAGAUUGAAAUAGGUAUGCGGAUGCUGACGAUCGAAUCUCGGGCAAGUAACAUACCGAAGGACAAAGGGAAUGACAUACGGGAUUAUAUGAAUCCUUGGCACUGAGGUUCAAACGAUAAGAUCUUCGUAGAAUAUGUAGGAUCCAAUAUGGGCAUCCAGGUCCCGCUAUUGGAUAUUGACCGAGGAGUCACUCGGGUCAUGUCUACAUAGUUCUCGAACCCGCAGGGUCUGCACACUUAAGGUUCGACGUUGUUUUAUGCGUAUUUGAGUUAUAUGGUUGGUUACCGAAUGUUGUUCGGAGUCCCGGAUGAGAUCACGGACGUCACGAGGGUUUCCGGAAUGGUCCAGAAACGAAGAUUGGUAUAUAGGAUGACCUCAUUUGAUUACCGGAAGGUUUUCGGAAUUACCGGGAAUGUACCGGGAAUGACGAAUGGGUUCCGGGAGUUCACCGGGGGGGCAACCCACCCCGGGGAAGCCCAUAGGCCUUGGGGGUGGCACACCAGCCCUUAGUGGGCUGGUGGGACAGCCCAAGAAGGCCCUAUGCGCCAUAGGAAGAAAAUCAAAGAGAAAAGAAAAAAAAAGGAGGAGGUGGGAAAGGAAAGAAGGACUCCACCCACCAAACCAAGUAGGACUCGGUUUGGGGGGGAGACCUUCCCCCCUUGGCUCGGCCGACCCCCUUGGGGCUCCUUGAGCCCCAAGGCAAGGCUUCCCCUCUCCCACCUAUAUAUACGGAGGUUUUAGGGCUGACUUGAGACGAUUUUUCCACGGCAGCCCGACCACAUACCUCCACGGUUUUUCCUCUAGAUCGCGUUUCUGCGGAGCUCGGGCGGAGCCCUGCUGAGAUAAGAUCACCACCAACCUCCGGAGCGCCGUCACGCUGCCGGAGAACUCUUCUACCUCUCCGUCUCUCUUGCUGGAUCAAGAAGGCCGAGAUCAUCGUCGAGCUGUACGUGUGCUGAACGCGGAGGUGCCGUCCGUUCGGCACUAGAUCGUGGGACUGAUCGCGGGACGGUUCGCGGGGCGGAUCGAGGGACGUGAGGACGUUCCGCUACAUCAACCGCGUUCACUAACGCUUCUGCUAUACGGUCUACAAGGGUACGUAGAUCGGAAAUCCCCUCUCGUAGAUGGACAUCACCAUGAUAGGUCUUCGUGCGCGUAGGAAAAUUUUUGUUUCCCAUGCGACGUUCCCCAACAGUGGUAUCAGAGCUAGGUUCAUGCGUAGAUGUCUUCUCGAGUAGAACACAAAAGUUUUUGUGGGCGGUGAUGUGAGUUUUGCUGCCCUCCUUAGUUUUUUCUUGAUUCUGCGGUAUUGUUGGAUCGAAGCGGCUCGGACCAACAUUACUCGUACACUUACGAGAGACUGGUUUCAUCGCUACGAGUAACUCUGUUGCUCAAAGAUGACUUGUGACAGCCCGGUGCCGACGUUCCAGAAGAUUCCCCUCUCUUUCCGUACUCGUCAUGUGAUCUAUUUUAUUUGUCGCAUCAUCAUCGCAUCAUGCGCAUCAUGAGCAUUGCUUCGGCAUCUCCGUUGCCGCCCGUUUUCAAAACUUGCAUUCGUUAGUAGUUGCCGGUUCUCGUCGUCGUCCGUUCUGAGUCCGACCGCUCACGCACGCGCCCGCGGCACCGUCGAAACCCUGGUUUUAAAGUGUGUUUAAAAAUUUCUCUGAUCGGGUUGAGAUUUGACGUGCGGUCGUGUUCAGUUAUAGCUAGGCCGCCUGUCGAAUUUCGUCGCGAUCGGAGACCGUCUGGUACCCGAACGGUCGCCCGUAGCGGCACCGUCUUCGGUUAUUCGUCGGACGUCUGUCGGUGUUUAUAAAUUCGUGUCGCGCCGCCCGCUCUCCCUCUCGUCCCCGGUAAACCCCUCUACACGGCCGCGUACCCUUACCCGCGUUCGGAAUCGUCCGAAUCCGACCCCGCGGUUGGAUCCAGAACGAAAUUCCGGUUAACCGAGCCCCCAUUUGUCUAUAAAUACCCCCCCAUGCCAUUAAUUAGACAGCCCCUCUUCCCUGCCUCAUUAUCCGCGCCCUAAACCUAACCCUAGCCGCGCCGCUCCACUCUCUCUCCUCUGCCAGCGCCGCCGGGCCCGCGAAGCCCAUCGCAGGCCCGCCCGAGCCCGAGCCGUCGCCGCCGCCCGUACGGUUCCCGUACCCGCGCCGCCCCGGGCUCCCCGAGCGCCGCCUUCCUCGCGCCGCGCCGCCCCUCCCAGCCGGCAGUCGCCGUCCGGCGAGAUCCCGCCGCCCAGGCCGGCCCUUGCCUUGCCGGCCAGCACCGCCGCCGUCGUUCCCGUCCGCUGCCUGCAGCAGCCGCCGCGCCAACCUCCCUGCAGCCAGCGCCGUCGCCCCAGAGAGCCGCCGGCCGGAUCCGGCCAGAUCCGGUCCGGGGAAGCAACUCCGGCCAGCGCCGCCCCUCGGCCUCGCCAGCUCCCGUCGGCCCCGCUGCCCUGGAGGACGCCGCCGCCUGGCCUCGCUCCAGCGGGCGACGGGAGGAGCCGCCGCGCUGUUGACCCCGUGCGUGGGCCUCCUGCCGAGCCGGCCCAGCUGGACCGCUCGCCCCGGCCCACCUCCAAGCGCCUGGCCGAGCGAGCCGAGCCACCGGCCAGGCCCAGUUGGCCGCCUCGGCCUGUCACCGCCCCUCCCAGGCCGGCCCAAGGGAGAUGAGCAGCUCCCACUCCUCGCCUAGGCGACAGGUAACUAAGCCGCGCCCCCUGUUCGGCCCAAAAGCUUAUUAGGCAUUUUGGAAUUGUAAUUAAUUCCAGAGUUAUACGUAAAUUUCAAACGCCCGUAACUUUUGUUCCGUUAGUCGGAUCGAGGUGAUCUUUAUAUCGUUUUGGCGUAGAAUUUUACGUAGAAUGUGUUUUUGAGACUUGCAUAAUUAUUUGACGCCGUUUAUAGUGCCUAAUGCGAGGAUUUGCGUGCUGUCUCCAUAAGUAGGUGCCCGCAUUUAUUUUUUUUCUCGCGUGUUUGUUUUGCUCGUGCGUCGUAGAUAAAAUGUCCAUGCUCUAGGGAGUUAUUUUCCAUGUAGUUUAGAGCGGUCAAGGGUAUUUUUGCGUGUAGGGUUUGCCCGUUAGAUUAUUUCCCGUGUCUAGGUCUAUUUCUCCCGCAUUAUUGUGUGGCUUUAUUUUGCGUUGCAAACCCCGAUUAUUUUAUAUGUUUUCGGGGUAGAAAAAUCCCAUGGAUUUUUCUGUGCAAUUAGUUUUAGGUUUUGAGGAAGUUAGUUCGCGAGAUAUUUUGUCGUGGUGCCCUUUUGUUUAAUUUGUAGGAUUUGUUCCGUGCGUCGUUUGACGGAGUUGUCAACUGGGAAGUUGUGCUUGGAUGUUUUGUUUAGUCCCUGGUAUUUUUGGUUGCAAUAGAAAUGCAUGUUUAGGUGUUGUUUGACGGCCCUCAAGUUGCUUGAAUAGUGCUGAUUUAGAGGAGCUGAAAUAUUUCUAAGUCUGAGAUCUGUUAUAUUUUGUUGCUGUCUUGUCUUGCUUGCAUCUGUGAUCUGUAGCUCUUUUGGGGUUGGUCCAAUGGAGUUAUUUGUACCCCUUAUGUUUCUUUAGCAUGCUGUGAAGUUUCAUGCCAUUUGGAGUCCUGUAGCUAUAGGUUUUGCUGCUGUCAGUAUUGCUUCCGGCUGAAAACUGCACUUUGACGAGGUGUUAUUUUCACUAAGUCUGAAAUAGUGCGUGAGAUGCCAUUUUGUGUCUUCUUUUCCUAGUGCUCCUUGCUGCCAUGCUAGUAGUUGUUAGUUGUUUGUAGUAGUGCGUCUUGCCCUCUUUCAUGCCAUGCCUUGCUUGAGCUCAUCGGAGUUGUGUAGCCGAAGUUGUGAGGCGUAGAAAGUGCUAUGAGGCUGUUCUUGGCAGAUUGUAGCGUUUCCUUGUUUUGCUCGUAGUUUUCGAACCGUAGCUCCGAUUUGAUCGUGUCCUACAUGCAACUUGCUUAGAAUCUCGUGUAGUUUCAUUUUCUCUUGCUGUUUGAAUGUGUUGAAGUGCUCGUAGCCGCCGUUGCACACAUUUUGCAUUCAUGCCAUCAUAUCUUGCGGNACAUUAAUAUUGCCGUGUAGAUAACUAGGAGUGAACUAAAUAAUUAACGUGGGGUUUCGUCAAUAUGCAACUCGUGCAUAUUGAACUUCACUUAAUGUGUAGUUUUGAGUGUGUGGAACUGUCAUGCCGUGACUUGCAUGUAUUCAGUAGCUCAUGCAUCAUUUGUGUUGUGCAUCGUGUGGUGAAUAUCGUGUGUUGAUGCUUGUUUCCGGUUUCCCCGUCUCGAUAGAGUUCCGCACGCGUGCCGGAAUGUGAGGACCCGUUCGACUACGUCGGUUCGCCUGCUUCACGGAGGCAUUCUUCUUCCAAGCGGGAUCUCAGGCAAGAUGAUCAUUUCCCCAGAUACCAUUACUAUCAUUGCCAUGCUAGUUUUACCGCUGCUAUCGUUUACGUCUCGUUGCCUACCACCUGUUAAAUAUCAGCCUCUCUACAAUGCCAUGAAACCAUCAACCUGUUCACCCUAGCAAACCACUGAUUGGCUAUGUUACUGCUUGCUUAACCCUGUUGAUAGCGUUGCUAGUUGCAGGUGCAUUGCUUCCAUGCAAAGCAUGGGUUCCUUGUUAUAUCACCAUAUUUUAUGCUUUCUAUUUUAAUGCACCUAUAUACCUGGUAAAAGGUGGAAGGCUCGGCCUUUCUAGCCUGGUGUUUUGUUCCACCUUUGCCCCCUUAGUUUCGGCUACCGGUGUUAUGUUCCAUAAAUGAGCGCUCCUAACACGAUCGGGGUUGUUAUGGGGACCCCCUUGAUAAUUCGUUUUAGAUUAAAGCUGGUCUGGCAGGGCCCAACUUUGGUACUACUUUUGCCUAAUAACUAAUGAACUGCAUAGCGAGGCUUGUAGCAAAAGGGUUCACGCAGAGACCCUACAUCAAAUUACGAUGUAAUAUACCUUCUUGGUAUGAGUGGAACUAUGUUUUGAUAAUAAAUAUCAUUGGCGGUACAAAUAAUAUUAUCCAUGUAGUUAAUGGAUGAAGUGAUACAUACUCAUAUGGGUUACUCAUUUCGUAAAUUUAUAACGAAGUACCUCAAGGGCUUACAAUUCCGAAUCCAAAAUAAAUCGCAACAUAUUUGUGUAAAAUUUCAGAAGUUACUCUAUGGCUUGAAAUAGUCGGAAAUCAUAUGGUACUACCGACUAAAUGAGUUCCUUCUUCAAAGGAUUACUCAAAGGAUGAUAAAUUGUUUAUGUGUUAAUAAAGGUAUCCCAAAAUUUGAAUUCCUUAUAUCACCUCAGUGUAUAUCGAUGAUUUCAUCAUCAAUGUCUCUACAAGACCUAAACAUACACAAAAUCAUCUCAAGACGGAAAAUUUGGAUUUAACCAAAUUUAGCUUAAGUUUAUAACUUGAGCAUUCUAUGAAGAAUUAGUAUCAGUCUACAUAUAUCCAAAACAUAUACGAGAAGUUCAAUUUGGAUAUAUCAUAUCAACAAAAGACAUGUAUGGUCAUACUACCUUUGAUAAGGUACAAAUCCAUUCAUACCUAGGGGUGAUAAUGAAGUGAUACUAGGACCUGAAGUUCUAUAUCUCACUAAUGUCAAAUCACUCAUAUACUUGCAAACUACGUCAGGCCUGACACUAUAUUUGCUAUCUUUAUUCAGAGUGCAAACCCCAACAAAAGGUAUAUGGUUGAUAUAAGUAAUAUCAUCUUAUAUCUGAAGAUUACAGUAAAUCUUGGAUAUUUUCAUCAGGAAAUAGAAGAUAUGACCAUGAUAUGAUGUAAUGAUAUUGGCUCUUUAUUUGAUCCCAACGAUGCCAUAUCAAUGACUGAAUUUGCUGGAAUAGCCUUCACAUGGAAGUCAUAUAAAUGGAUUUUAAUGGUUAUUUCCACUUAUCAUUCUGACAUAAUUUUUUUAUCCUAAAGCAUUGCAAAAAUAUGUAUGGCUUGGCAGAAUGAUUAACCACACUCAAAAUUAUGUGGUUGAGAUUCAUCAGAAUCACAUAACUUGAUUUAUCAAGAUACUUUCACUUGUGUUACUCAAUACCUAUAGGUUAUAUGAAGAGCAAUAUCAUAAAUCAUAUUGCUCGGAAAUUACUUAGCCUCACGGAUUAUAGAAAAGUGAGGAAAUAAUUUGCAAACAAACUACUGUUAUAAUCCAACAUAUUAUACACAAUCUCAUGUUCAUGUCAAUGGAAUUGGUAUGAGACAUCCUUCAUAUUUGUAAAGUUCAGGGGGAGUAAUCUCCCAAACUAUAACCGAUUAACAAUCAUCAGAUUGCAUAUAUUGUACUCGUUUUCCCUUGAUGAGUUUUCCUUAUUGGUUUCUCAUAAAAGGUUUUUAACGAGACAAUAUAAACACAAGUGUCUUUAUAUGCCAUAUCAUUUUCUCCUUGUAUUUUUCCCACUGGGUUUUAAAGGAGUUUUCAAUGGCAUGUACGAUUGCACUCUUUUCCCUUAUGAGUUUUUCUCUCAAGUUUCUCAUAAUGGUUUUUAGUGAGGCAAUAUCUUCUCAAAGAUCAUAUGUCAUACUUUCUAUUUUCCCUAUCGGGGUUUUUAAAGGAAGUACUCAAGACAUAUUAAUUAUUCUCUAAACUUCUCAAUGAGUUUUCUCCUUAUUCAAAGGUUUUCUCAUAUGAGUUAUCAAGAGACAAUAAUCACUAUAUGUUGCAUCAUUUUCUCCUUAUCAUUUUCUAAUGGGUUUAAAGGAGUUUUAGCAACAUAUCAUACACACUGCUCCUUGCAUUUUUUCCCACAGGGUUUUUGAAGAAGAGAUGAUUCCAAAGAUGUUCGAUCGCAAAUACAAGGAAGGAUUAGGGGGAGUGUUAGGAUUUAAUUAGUAGAUUAAAUAAAAGGGAUAAUCCUCCCAUGUAAUAAUCUAUGUCGGUUAGUAGAAUGGCAACCGACAUACCACGCAUCCCUUCACGAACGGACGCAUCUCUUCAUCGCGUCCUUUCUUCUUGUAUAAAUAUGUUGAACAUCAAUGGAAUAAGAUAAGAGUUGAUUCAUUUUGUUCGAUUCUCUCGUUUCUUGACAAUCGAUUCUUCACAAAGAGAAAGGUCACAUGUGGCGGUGUGGACAAACGAAGAAACAAAAGCCACGCCGGAGUCUCGUAUUGCAAACGUCGGAGACCGGAACCACCGUCCCAUCUGCCGUCUCUUCCCUUGCCGAAGAUGGCCGCUCCCGCCGCCGCCGCCGUGGUGGUGCUGUUCGACUUCGACAAGACCAUCAUCCAGUGGGACAGCGACGACUGGGUCAUCACCAAGCUCGGGGCCGCCGACGCCUUCAAACGCCUGCGCCCCACCAUGCGCUGGAACUCCCUCAUGGUACGAACACGACACCGCCCACACACCCGCCUAGACAUGCCGCUUCUCCCGGCUGAGGCCUUGAUGUCGACCUCCAGGACAGGAUGAUGGGGGAGCUCCACGCGCAGGGGAGGUCGGCCGACGACAUCCGCGAGUGCCUCAGGAGCGCGCCGCUCGACGCGCACGUCCUCUCCGCCAUCCGGACGGCGUCGGCAUUAGGGUAUGGACAUGGACGGAUGCCGAUUUGCCGAUGUGUUCUUGAUCUCUCACGCGGCCGGUGGUUGGAUCUUGAUGGUGGUAGGUGUACGUUGCAGGUGUGAUUUGAAGGUGGUGAGCGACGCCAACUCCUUCUUCAUCGCGACCGUCCUGGAGCAUCACGGUGUCCUCGGCUGCUUCUCUGAGAUCAACACCAACCCCGCGCGCGUGGACGCCCAAGGGAGGCUCAGGAUCUCGCCGUUCCAUGAUCCCACCAGCUCGCCCCAUGGCUGCAGCAUGUGCCCUGACAACAUGUGCAAGGUAUGGACAGUAGGAUGGCAGAUCAGUUCACGUGUUAAUUCACAGAUUCACUCGAUGCACGUGGGUAAUGGAGACAAAAGAAACAAUUUAUGUCACUCACUAUACAUAAUGAUGUCUUCUGCAUUUAGAAUCUUAUUACUGUAUUAGGCAUGAUGUGUUGUCAAACUAUUGAUGAAAUAGUAUUGUUUGUGCUGAAUCCUCGGUGCAUUACUCAUGAAAAGUGGUGUGCACAAUGAAAACCCCAUGAACUAAAAUUUUACUUGCCAUGUGCAGGGCAAGAUAAUCCAGAGGAUUCAAGAGGCAGACAGUGCCAAGAACAAGCACUUCAUCUACAUCGGUGACGGGAAGGGGGAUUACUGCCCCUCCCUUAAGCUAAGGGAAGGGGACUAUGUCAUGCCAAAGGAGAAUUACCCCCUCUGGAAUCUCAUCAGCAGCGAUCCCCAGCUUAUCAAAGCUGAGGUUCAUCCAUGGUGUAGUGACGAGGAUUUCGGAAGGAUCCUUCUUAAGUUGGUGAACAAGCUAAUCACCUUGCAUGCACAGGCGUCCCAAUUGGACUACAAAUGCGAGAUGAGCAAUCCAGUAUCAACGGAACUAGGUCACCAUCAGACUCUCCCUGUCCCAAAUUGAUUUGUAACCAUAUCUUAGCUCACGGUACAGGCAAUAUUGCGUGACUAUUUCCACAUGCCUCGGCUAAGGAACUGUCCUCGGUCAGAAUUCAUCCUAAUUCGUGAUGUAAUAACAAUUGCAUUGCACCGAUUAUGUAUGUCGGUGGAUUUUCUGCACAUUGUGUCUCUUAUGUAACUCUUCAGGCAAGUUCAGGGACCCAACAGCAUGUUUCAGUCAGCUCGGUAUAAAUGAGAUAAAACAGUCAACAGUGUAACAAGUGGUAGUGAUCUGCUAAUGCAGGUGUGGCAUUUUCAGCGAUCUUAUUUAUAAACAGGACUUACCUUGGCACUUUGUAUCAGCCUACAGAACUAGCCAUAUCUACUUCAAACCAGCUCCUGGUCUCAUCAUAGUUUAUGUAUGGGCACCGUCCAUGGUGGCAUUUCAGAUUGCGGCACGUCGCAAAAAAUUAUUAAUAUUUUGGACAUCCAUCUUGCGAUAGGAAUACCUGAACCUGGCCAUUGACUUCAAUCCAGCUACACCCUGGUUCCUUUUUUACUCCAUGAUCCAGUAGCAUAUUCCUAAGUCUAGUAACAUCACUCCACCUUCCUAAAUCUGCAUAAAUAUUUGAUAACAAUAUAGAAGAAGAAACAUCCUCAGGCUCUAACUCAAACAAUCUUUCUGCAGCUCUCUCAGCAAUCUCGACAUUUCCAUGUAUCCUGCAACCUCCCAAAAUCGUCCUCCAUAUGGAUGAAUCCGGGAUUAAUGGCAUCUGACUGAUAAGAGAUUCAGCCUCAGCUAGCCUUCCAGCCUUGGACAGAAUAUCAAUCAUGCAAGCAUAGUGCUCCAUCGUAGGAGUAAUUCCAUAGACACUACUCAACAAUUGAAAGUACUUCCUUCCCUCGUCAAGUAAUCCUGCAUGGCUACACGCUGAGAGGACACCGACAAAUGUGAUAUCAUCAGGCCUUUUCCCAUCAUCUACCAUCCGUCUGAAAGUGUCCAGUGCCUUGUACCCAUGACCGUGUUGAGAGUAACCACAGAUGAGUGUAUUCCAUGCAACUUGAUCACAUUUUUCUGACUCAUAGAAUAGCAUCUCAGCAUCCGUUAUGUUACCGCACUUCACAUACAUGUCAAUUACAGCACCAGAAACAACAGAGCUGUUCCUCCAGCCAGACUUGAUGGCCCAUGAAUGAAGCUGGAGCCCACUGCCUAAGGAUGCCAUAUCAGAGGAAACAGUCAAUGAAACUGCUAGUGUGGCAUCAUUAGGCCUUUUGUUUUCUUGCAACAUUGAACGGAAACAUUCCAUCACCUUCUCAGCAUCAUCCGUUUUAGCAUAUCCCGACAUAAUCACUGUCCACGAGAAAGCAUCUCUUUCUUCAAGACGAUCAAAUACCAGGCACGCACUUGUAAAGGAGCCAGAUUGUGCAUACAUGUCAAGUAGCAUUCUUGAAACAUCAUUAUCGCUUUGCAACCCACUUUUCAGAAUACAUGCAUGAACCUGAAUGCCAUACAUGAGGUUCAUCAAGCUAGUGCAGCAUCUCAAAACACCUACGUAAGUAUAUUUGUUGGCUGGAAAGUCCUCGCACUUCAUCUGCUUGAAAAUUGUCAAACCCUGCUCACAGCUGCUUCCACUAUAAAAUCCAGAGAGAAAUGUGUUCCACGAAAAUGUGUCAGGCUCAUGCAUAAGAUGGAAAGCGACUGUUGCGUCUUGAACAGCACCAACUUUCACAUACAUAUUUAGAAUGGCAUCAGCCACUAACUUUGGCAUAGCCAGUCCACUUUUCACAACAUAAGCAUGAACGCAGCGACAAAGGUUUGCAUCACCAGUCUUUGAUGCAACACCAGCAAUACCCACAAAUGUAUAUUGGUUUGGUUUGACUCCCGUGUCUGACAUCUUUACCAAAAGAUCAAAUGCUUCCCCAGCCAUACCAUGUCGACCGAAAGAAGAGAUCAUGGCACUGCAAUGCACCACAUCAGGUUCAUCUAUCCUGACAAAGACUUGGUAGGCCUCUUGAGCAGACAGACAUCUCGAGUACAUCUCAACAAGGCAAUUGUUGAGGACGUCAUCGGUUUCCAGCCCUCUCUUGACCACCAAAGCAUGAAGAGCCUGGCCAGAUUUCGCAAGACCGAGUUCCACACAACACUUGAGAAGAGCAGGCAAAGUAUACUUGCUUAUCUCAUCACCAAAUUCCGACAACUUAUGGAAAACAUGCAUGACCUUUCUGUAGUCACCCUGCCGAGCAUACUCAGUGAGCAGAGCAUUCCAUGACACAUCACUUCGUUCGGGCAAGCCGAGCAACACUGUCUCAGCAGCGUCCACCUCCCCACGGCUCGUGUAAGCUUGAACAAGGGACGAGCCAACGUAGGGAUCAUCCAGACCUUUCAACUUAACCACCUGAGCAUGCACCUGACGCGUGAACUCGGAGCGUGAGCUCAUCACCGAGCAGGCCUUGAGCACCGAAGAGAGCGCGAACACGUUAGGCGCAAGGCCCUGUUGGUUCAUCUGACAAAACAGGUACAGAGCCUCCUCGGCAUCUCCCGCGGCGGUGUGGGCGGAUAAGAGGGCGGUCCAGGCGACGACGUCCCUGUGUGGCAUUCCGUCGAACACCCUUCGUGCGUCCUCCAGGCGGCCGCACUUGCAGUACAUGUUGAGGAGCGAGUCGAGGAGAAACGUGUCCGGCUGCCGCGCGGAGCGGAGCAGCCGCGCGUGGAGCUCCUGUCCGCAGCGGAGCGCUCGGCGGACGGCGCAGCCCUGCAGCGCCGCUGCGUGCGACCGGAGCUCAUCGGCUUGCGCGUCAGGGAGGAGAGAGUUGGGGUGGGAAGGAGAAGAGUGCGCCGCGAGUCGCGUCCGCCGUGGAGAGGUGGCAGUCGGCGACGAGGGAGGAUCCCGGUGGUAGGAGAAUGGGCCGUGAAAAAGAGCGAGGGAAGACAUGAAUUUGGCCUGCGAGAACGUAAGAGUAGAGUGGGCAAUGACCACGAAGAUGCCACCGCAUGGGAUAUGUGGUUAGCAAAAUUAAAACUCAAAGGGGAAAAAACACGAAGACGCCUGCAGGCAAACUAGCAAAGUAUUGUUUUGUUUUUCAGGGAGCAAAGAAACUGCCCGUGUUGAACCAAAAGCAACAGGAGACCAGAAAUAACACCGAGUAUAUAGAUACAAAAUAAAAUUACAGCACGUAAAUAAAAAAAGCCAGCAUGCCAAGAUAUGUCGUUGGGCGACCAAAAAGUACAUCUCAGACCACCACAAAAAUAAAAGUACUCUUGGAUUUUUGCUGACAAAUAAACGCCAGGCACAAUAUCCAACAUCCACAGUAGGAGUAAUUUCGAACUAAAAGGUAGCCGAGAUUCAUUAAUUCAAGAUGGUACCGUGGGAUAACAGCAAAGGUACUCUUCUAUGAUAGAAGUCUUGGAAGCAAAUCUACAUGUUGAAAGUCUCUAAUUGCACAUAACAAGGAACAUGACGAUAUAGCUCAUGGCAUCACGCGCCAAGUUAGGUUAGCUACCAGUUACUACUAUAUCCGUAAGCCUGCUGGAGUCGGACCGCAGGAACCCGCUUCAACUCAUCGUCAUCGAGCAGGAACCACACCAGAUACUACUACUUCAUGACAUCAUUAAGAGGCGGAAACCAAAACAGCAAACAGUCUUGCAGACUCCAGAAAGGCACUUGUCCCAAAACGUCUCUCCCCAAGUAAGCAUUAGUGAGUGAAUCCAUCGCCUUCUACCCAUAUCAAGCUGUUUCUUCCAUCUCAUCAUCUGACUGUGGGUUCUCCACCUCGCUACCACUGCUCAUGCCGCCAUUGGUAGCAGCAGACGAGAAGUGAUCCUUAACCGAGCUGUCUUCAGCCUUGUACUUCACAAACUUCACAACUGAAGCGUCUUCAUUUCCACAGUCCUUCCUUUUCCUCAUGCCAUUCGCCGUCACCUUCAUCGACUGAGCAGCAGCCAUGAAAGCGUUAUCAGCUGUCUCCAUCUCCACGGCUUCUUCAUCCUCCCCACCUUUUGUGUAUAUACCCUCCUGGUGACUCUGCUUGUCAAUGAAGAAAAGGUCAGCGUCUGAAUGAUUCAUCUUGCUCUGAUAGUGAUAACCAUUCUUGGGAUCAUCAUGCAUUAGCCUCUCCCUAAUCCUUGAACAGUUCUCUCCAAAGACUUUGAGCCCCUUAUCUUCAAGAUCUACAAGCCACU
This 29342-nucleotide long non-coding RNA is filed under the name Hordeum vulgare. RNAcentral's name for it is "long non-coding RNA (HVUL_LNC007575)". Lineage: Eukaryota; Viridiplantae; Streptophyta; Magnoliopsida; Poales; Poaceae. The record is from RNAcentral.